ACGUAGGGGGCAAGCGUUAUCCGGAAUUAUUGGGCGUAAAGAGUGCGUAGGUGGUUUUUUAAGCGUGAGGUGAAAGGCAAUAGCUUAACUAUUGUAAGCCUUGCGAACUGGAAGACUUGAGUGCAGGAGAGGAAAGUGGAAUUCCUAGUGUAGCGGUGAGAUGGGUAGAAAUUGGGAGGAACGCCAGUGGGGAGGGCGACUUUCUGGGAUGUAACUGACACUGAGGCACGAAAGCGUGGGAAGCAAAGAG
Molecule: ribosomal RNA, 250 nt
Filed under: uncultured prokaryote
Description: partial 16S rRNA
Rfam family: Bacterial small subunit ribosomal RNA
Source: RNAcentral